ACUGGCAGACUAUUGCAAAAAGGGCACGGGGCAGAGGGACUAUGUUGUGAGCCUGCGAAAGAAGUUUGUGUGGGGACUGUGGGCAGUGAACGCGUUGGGAACAAUAUGGAAAACUGGGAGCCGCCUUGGAAUCUACAGGGCCGGGCUGAAGAAAAGAAGAAUGGUAUUCACGCAGUUCCCAUUUUACAGAUGAAAACAAGAGGACUUUUUCUGUGAAGUCAAGAAAGUGGUUACAAUGGUACUUUCAGCCUGUCCGAAUUAUGUAUUGCCCCUCCCCUUUUUAUUAAUAACAUUGAAGUGUGAUGGGACAACCACUGAAGCCGUCAGUUGAAACCUGCUGGGACUUUUUAGCCAUUCUCUUCAACAUAAAGAAUGGGUGUUUUUGGAGGGGGUGAGAGGAAUGGGGAAAUGUUGUCAAAGAGUACAAUGUUUUAGUUGAGACAGGAAGAAUAUAUUUUGUUGAGAUCUACAGCACAGCAUGGUGACUGUAGUUAACAAUGAAGUAUUGUGUAUUUCCAAAUUGCUAAGACAAUAAAUUUCAAAUGUUCUCACCACAAAAAAG
RNAcentral lists this long non-coding RNA (562 nucleotides) under Homo sapiens (human). RNAcentral describes it as "non-protein coding PGM5P4-AS1:14". Lineage: Eukaryota; Metazoa; Chordata; Mammalia; Primates; Hominidae. The record is from RNAcentral.